This 506-nucleotide ribosomal RNA is filed under the name uncultured bacterium. RNAcentral's name for it is "partial 16S ribosomal RNA". It matches the Rfam family "Bacterial small subunit ribosomal RNA", at positions 30 to 523 of the family's 1533-position model. The record is from RNAcentral.
AUUGAACGCUGGCGGCAGGCCUAACACAUGCAAGUCGAACGGCAGCACAGAAGAGCUUGCUCUUUGGGUGGCGAGUGGCGGACGGGUGAGUAAUGUCUGGGAAACUGCCCGAUGGAGGGGGAUAACUACUGGAAACGGUAGCUAAUACCGCAUAACGUCGCAAGACCAAAGUGGGGGACCUUCGGGCCUCACACCAUCGGAUGUGCCCAGAUGGGAUUAGCUAGUAGGUGGGGCUAUGGCUCACCUAGGCGACGAUCCCUAGCUGGUCUGAGAGGAUGCCCAGCCACACUGGAACUGAGACACGGUCCAGACGCCUACGGGAGGCAGCAGUGGGGAAUAUUGCACAAUGGGCGCAAGCCUGAUGCAGCCAUGCCGCGUGUAUGAAGAAGGCCUUCGGGUUGUAAAGUACUUUCAGCGGGGAGGAAGGCGGUGAGGUUAAUAACCUUGCCGAUUGACGUUACCCGCAGAAGAAGCACCGGCUAACUCCGUGCCAGCCGCCGCAGUAA